UCGACUACAGGUAUGGCCGGUAUCAUCCGCGGAAGGAAUAGGUGAGGCGGCGGCAUCUGUACCCCAGAUGACCCACUAUCCGAAGAAGUAGGAGCUGGAGUGGGCGCCCGGUGUAUCUCAGGCAUACGGGGUGCAGACACCUCCGUCUGAGGCUGAGCAAACAACUGCCUCGAGGAAUGAGGGAAGCCCCGCUGCCUCGAUGAAGGGGGCACCUCCGGCUGCCUCUGCGCCGUCUGCAGAAGGCUCGCAUGUCUAGCUGUCAUGAGGCCUUGAAACGACGUCUGAGGGUUGCUAGAUGUUCCCUCAGACGAUACGGACCUUUGGCCCUUCGAACCCUUCGUCGAUCUAAUAUUACCGCUCACCCUAUUUAAAAUAUUAAUUUGAAUCAAGGCCACAAAAUCAAAAAAUGCAAACUCAUUUUAAAAAUGUAAAAAAUAUAUACACUUCCUAAAUACUAAUUUUCACUUCCUAAAUUUUACACAUAUACACUUCCUAAAUAUACACUUCAUAAAUAAAAAUAUACACUUCCUAACAACACCACAACAUUGCAAUUGGCCGGAAAAUCAAAGCAAACACAAAAUACAAAACAAAUAUAUACAUUUCCUAAAUACUAAAUACAAAUAUACACUUAUUAAACAACAAUAUACACUUCCUAAAUACAAAUAUACACUUCCUAACAACACCACAACAUUGCAAUUAACCGGAAAAUAAAAGCAAACACAAAAUAAAACUAAAGCUCAAAAACGUACUCGAGGAGGAGGAGGGAGGACCGGAGCAGCAGCAGGAGGAGGCCGGGCGGAGAGGGAGAGGGAGCGGAGGCCGAGACCGGGAGAGGGAGAGGGAGAGGAGGCGGAGACCGGGAGAGUGAGAGGGAGAGGGCGGUGACCGGGAGAGGGAGAGAGAGAGGAGGCGGAGACCGGGAGAGUGAGAGGGAGAGGGUGGCGCCUGAACGACCGAGGGAGCGGAGGCGGAGGAGGGGAAAUUCGGAGAGGGAGAGGAAAAGGUGGCUAGGGUUUACAACCAGUCGAGCGCUGGGUUAUACCCGAACACUUUAGCCGACGAAAUAAUAAUUUCGUCGGCUAAAGGUAAUAAUUUCGUCGGCUAACCUAACACUUUAGCCGACGAAAUAAUUAUUUCGUCGGCUAAGAUAAAAUUCGUCGGCUAAACCUUUAAAAUUCGUCCGCUAAACCUAUGAAAUUCGUCGGCUAAACACAAAAUUCGUCGACUUUAUAACUUUUUAUACAUUCGUCAAACUGUGACUGCUGCUCGUGAUGAUCAAACUUUAGAACGAAAAUCCGACCGUCAGAUCUGACCUUCAUGAUAAAAUACAUGUAUGGGAAAUAAUUCAACUUGAUCCGACAAG
RNAcentral lists this long non-coding RNA (1363 nucleotides) under Fragaria vesca (wild strawberry). Its description in RNAcentral is "long non-coding RNA (FVES_LNC004998)". The record is from RNAcentral. Lineage: Eukaryota; Viridiplantae; Streptophyta; Magnoliopsida; Rosales; Rosaceae.